AGUGAUUUGUGUCAAAGACACACGCUGAUAGACCCUCUUAGCAGAACUCGGGCUGCAAAUCUUACUGGUGAUCUCACUUACUUAAACCAUCUGAGGAAACAGGAGGGCUGGGAGAGAGAAGUCACUGUACAACUCUCUCUGAACAGUGACCAAAUGUUCAACCAGAUGCAUGAGGAAUGGGCUAAAUGCAAACCUCAACUCAACCCUUCUGGAAGAGGAGUAAAGGUUCUGGUGAUACUCAACUAUGUAUUUUCUUGUCUGGAAUCAGGAAGCUACAAUUCACUGCAAGGGAAGCUGAGAGCAAGUUUGUAGAAUUCUAAUCUGCAUAGUAGAAUUAUCAAUCAUCAUACUUGAUAGAGCUGGAAAUCCAGCCUGUGUGGGUGAUAAAGUCUGGGUGAGUAAAGAUCAUAUCAGACCUUCUGGAAACACAGCAGGCUCUCUCUGAGUCCAUCCGCAUCCACAUGGGAGCUUUCUGCAUUCGUUGGUAUGUAUCAUGCCACGUCCACAUCAUCUGGACCAGAUGCACUCUUCAAUCUUGGAGUUAUGCAAUGCACUGUAAACUGCAGAGUACUGUAACAUUAGGCAUAGGCAACAACCCCACUUGGACUACACGUGGACUCUGCAGUGAAAUACAGCCCGUGCCCAGGACAUUACCAAACUCAGAGCUGCA
This 670-nucleotide long non-coding RNA is filed under the name Homo sapiens (human). RNAcentral describes it as "HSALNT0251479". Lineage: Eukaryota; Metazoa; Chordata; Mammalia; Primates; Hominidae. The record is from RNAcentral.